UCUGCAAGUAUCCGAUUUCAAAGGGGAGGCAUCCGGUGAGCCUGUUGCCUAAAAACAGGGCCUCGAUUAGUGUAUUCCAGGCUCGGCCAAUACUUCUUGGAAUUGAACCUGUGAGCUUGUUGUUGGCUAAAGUGAGAUAGAGUGCUGGAGUGUUGCCAAAGUUUGCAGGGAUUGUACGAUUGAACUGAUUAUUGUUGAUGAAAAGAACGUCAGUGUCAAUG
Molecule: unclassified non-coding RNA, 221 nt
Filed under: Hevea brasiliensis (rubber tree)
Lineage: Eukaryota; Viridiplantae; Streptophyta; Magnoliopsida; Malpighiales; Euphorbiaceae
Source: RNAcentral